AAGCCAUUGUGCGGACAAUCUCGCACUAGUCUCUUAAACCUCACCCAGGCAUCACUGAGCAAUUCGUAAAUAUCCUGUUUAAAAUUUGUAAUCAACUUCCUCCUUCU
This is a small nucleolar RNA of Benincasa hispida (wax gourd), 107 nucleotides long. The record is from RefSeq and is a predicted model, not a curated record. Lineage: Eukaryota; Viridiplantae; Streptophyta; Magnoliopsida; Cucurbitales; Cucurbitaceae.